AAGUCGUAACAAGGUUUCCGUAGGUGAACCUGCGGAAGGAUCAUUACUGAGAGAGGGCCUUCACGGUCCGACCUCCAACCCUUUGUUUACCUUACCACUGUUGCCUCGGCGGGUCGCCGGUGUCUUUUAGUUAAGAUUACCGCCGUCGGCCUCCGCGCUCUCGAGUGCCCGCCGCCAGGCCUCCAAAAACCCUUUAAUAAACCAGUAUUCUGAGAGUAAAUUAAAUACUUCAAAA
This 235-nucleotide unclassified non-coding RNA is filed under the name plant metagenome. Its description in RNAcentral is "partial contains small subunit ribosomal RNA and internal transcribed spacer 1". The stretch from base 1 to 46 matches the Rfam family "Eukaryotic small subunit ribosomal RNA", at positions 1786 to 1831 of the family's 1831-position model. The record is from RNAcentral.